AGAGUGAACGCUGGCGGUAGGCCUAACACAUGCAAGUCGAACGGCAGCACAGUAGGAGCUUGCUCUUACGGGUGGCGAGUGGCGGACGGGUGAGGAAUACAUCGGAAUCUACCUUUUGGUGGGGGAUAACGUAGGGAACCUUACGCUAAUACCGCAUACGCCCUUCGGGGGAAAGCCGGGGACCAGCAAUGGCCUGGCGCUGAUAGAUGAGCCGAUGUCGGAUUAGCUAGUUGGUGAGGUAAUGGCUCACCAAGGCGACGAUCCGUAGCUGGUCUGAGAGGAUGAUCAGCCACACUGGAACUGAGACACGGU
RNAcentral lists this ribosomal RNA (312 nucleotides) under uncultured soil bacterium. RNAcentral describes it as "bacterial SSU rRNA". It matches the Rfam family "Bacterial small subunit ribosomal RNA", at positions 26 to 330 of the family's 1533-position model. The record is from RNAcentral.